Molecule: long non-coding RNA, 438 nt
Organism: Carassius auratus (goldfish)
Lineage: Eukaryota; Metazoa; Chordata; Actinopteri; Cypriniformes; Cyprinidae
Exons: 3
Source: RefSeq, a predicted model, not a curated record
UUCCAAUAAAGUAAUUUGCAUGUGCAAAAGUUGUGUAAUAGGUAAAAAUCUAGAUGUUGACGAUCAAGUUUGGCUGAAAUGUUGUUGGCUAAUAAAUCAGUGCACACCUGUGCAUUAAGGAAGUUUCUGGUUAAAGGUUUGCUGUGGUGCAGCCAGUCACAAUCAGCUUCACCACCUGAAACACGUUCAUUUACGGCCCUUAGUUUCAGGCCACUCAUUAAAGCUCAUCUCAGCGAGAUUUCCUUGUUUCCCUGCGGCCUCAUGAGAAAUCCUUGCAUGUCAUUGUAAAUUAGAGGCGAUCAAACAUUCUGUGCCAAACAUCAGAAAGCAGAAGGUGCCAGGAACGUUUCCGGUAUUUGGCAACAAUUAAGCAACGCUGUGAAAAACAAUGACAAGAAGAGAGAAGAGAGGAUGAGAGAGUGUUUUACCUCCGUUCUG